RNAcentral lists this ribosomal RNA (1700 nucleotides) under Campylobacter coli. RNAcentral describes it as "partial 23S ribosomal RNA". It matches the Rfam family "Bacterial large subunit ribosomal RNA", at positions 1244 to 2925 of the family's 2925-position model. Lineage: Bacteria; Pseudomonadati; Campylobacterota; Epsilonproteobacteria; Campylobacterales; Campylobacteraceae. The record is from RNAcentral.
UUUGCGUCGAAGGUAUACCGGUAAGGAGUGCUGGAGCGAAUAGAAGUGAGCAUGCAGGCAUGAGUAGCGAUAAUUAAUGUGAGAAUCAUUAACGCCGUAAACCCAAGGUUUCCUACGCGAUGCUCGUCAUCGUAGGGUUAGUCGGGUCCUAAGUCGAGUCCGAAAGGGGUAGACGAUGGCAAAUUGGUUAAUAUUCCAAUACCAACAUUAGUGUGCGAUGGAAGGACGCUUAGGGCUAAGGGGGCUAGCGGAUGGAAGUGCUAGUCUAAGGUCGUAGGAGGUUAUACAGGCAAAUCCGUAUAACAAUACUCCGAGAACUGAAAGGCUUUUUGAAGUCUUCGGAUGGAUAGAAGAACCCCUGAUGCCGUCGAGCCAAGAAAAGUUUCUAAGUUUAGCUAAUGUUGCCCGUACCGUAAACCGACACAGGUGGGUGGGAUGAGUAUUCUAAGGCGCGUGGAAGAACUCUCUUUAAGGAACUCUGCAAAAUAGCACCGUAUCUUCGGUAUAAGGUGUGGUUCGCUUCGUAUUAGGAUUUACUCCGAAAGCGAAGAAACUUACAACAAAGAGUCCCUCCCGACUGUUUACCAAAAACACAGCACUCUGCUAACUCGUAAGAGGAUGUAUAGGGUGUGACGCCUGCCCGGUGCUCGAAGGUUAAUUGAUGGGGUUAGCAUUAGCGAAGCUCUUGAUCGAAGCCCGAGUAAACGGCGGCCGUAACUAUAACGGUCCUAAGGUAGCGAAAUUCCUUGUCGGUUAAAUACCGACCUGCAUGAAUGGCGUAACGAGAUGGGAGCUGUCUCAAAGAGGGAUCCAGUGAAAUUGUAGUGGAGGUGAAAAUUCCUCCUACCCGCGGCAAGACGGAGAGACCCCGUGGACCUUUACUACAGCUUGACACUGCUAUUUGGAUAAGAAUGUGCAGGAUAGGUGGGAGGCUUUGAGUAUAUGACGCCAGUUGUAUAUGAGCCAUUGUUGAGAUACCACUCUUUCUUAUUUGGGUAGCUAACCAGCUUGAGUUAUCCUCAAGUGGGACAAUGUCUGGUGGGUAGUUUGACUGGGGCGGUCGCCUCCCAAAUAAUAACGGAGGCUUACAAAGGUUGGCUCAGAACGGUUGGAAAUCGUUCGUAGAGUAUAAAGGUAUAAGCCAGCUUAACUGCAAGACAUACAAGUCAAGCAGAGACGAAAGUCGGUCUUAGUGAUCCGGUGGUUCUGUGUGGAAGGGCCAUCGCUCAAAGGAUAAAAGGUACCCCGGGGAUAACAGGCUGAUCUCCCCCAAGAGCUCACAUCGACGGGGAGGUUUGGCACCUCGAUGUCGGCUCAUCGCAUCCUGGGGCUGGAGCAAGUCCCAAGGGUAUGGCUGUUCGCCAUUUAAAGCGGUACGCGAGCUGGGUUCAGAACGUCGUGAGACAGUUCGGUCCCUAUCUGCCGUGGGCGUAAGAAGAUUGAAGAGAUUUGACCCUAGUACGAGAGGACCGGGUUGAACAAACCACUGGUGUAGCUGUUGUUCUGCCAAGAGCAUCGCAGCGUAGCUAAGUUUGGAAAGGAUAAACGCUGAAAGCAUCUAAGCGUGAAGCCAACUCUAAGAUGAAUCUUCUCUAAGCUCUCUAGAAGACUACUAGUUUGAUAGGCUGGGUGUGUAAUGGAUGAAAGUCCUUUAGCUGACCAGUACUAAUAGAGCGUUUGGCUUAUCUUUAAUAAAGCAU